Molecule: ribosomal RNA, 358 nt
Filed under: uncultured bacterium
Lineage: Bacteria
Description: bacterial SSU rRNA
Rfam family: Bacterial small subunit ribosomal RNA
Source: RNAcentral
AACGAACGCUGGCGGCAGGCUUAACACAUGCAAGUCGAGCGGGCGUAGCAAUACGUCAGCGGCAGACGGGUGAGUAACGCGUGGGAACAUACCUUUUGGUUCGGAACAACUGAGGGAAACUUCAGCUAAUACCGAAUAAGCCCUUACGGGAAAGAUUAUCGCCGAAAGAUUGGCCCGCGUCUGAUUAGCUAGUUGGUGGAGGUAACGGCUCACCAAGGCGACGAUCAGUAGCNGGUCUGAGAGGAUGAUCAGCCACAUUGGGACUGAGACACGGCCCAAACUCCUACGGGAGGCAGCAGGUGGGGAAUAUUGGACAAUGGGCGCAAGCCUGAUCCAGCCAUGCCGCGUGAGUGAUGAA